GUGAGGAAUAUUGAGCAAUGGGCGCAAGCCUGACUCAGCAACGCCGCGUGGAUGAUGAAGGCCUUCGGGUUGUAAAAUCCUUUUCUGGGGGACGAUAAUGACGGUACCUCAGGAAUAAGUUCCGGCUAACUACGUGCCAGCAGCCGCGGUAAAACGUAGGGAACAAGCGUUAUCCGGAUUUACUGGGCGUAAAGCGCGCGCAGGCGGCAUGGAAAGUUGGACGUGAAAACUCCUGGCUUAACUGGGAGAGGUCGUACAAAACUACCAAGCUAGAGGUUGGAAGAGGAGAGUGGAAUUCCCGGUGUAGUGGUGGAAUGCGUAGAUAUCGGGAGGAACACCAGUGGUGAAAACGGCUCUCUGGUCCAAUACUGACGCUGAGGUGCGAAAGCGUGGGGAGCGAACGGGAUUAGAAACCCUAGUAGUCC
This 425-nucleotide ribosomal RNA is filed under the name uncultured bacterium. RNAcentral's name for it is "bacterial SSU rRNA". It matches the Rfam family "Bacterial small subunit ribosomal RNA", at positions 354 to 796 of the family's 1533-position model. The record is from RNAcentral.